CUGAGACUGAACAUACCCAGGGAAGUACAGGACAGGACCUCUGGAGCAAAGAGUUCCCACUGUCUCACUUGACUUUAAGUCUCAAAGUUGACUUUCUUUGUCUAUCAGGACAAUCAUCCUGAAAGUCAGGCUUUGUGCAGAGAGGAAAUUUUUCCAAAUCUCAAAUAUUUCCCUUGAGCAUGUUAGGAACCAAGCCCUGCUGUGCCUCUAUCAAAGAGCAGUGGAGAGAACAGACAGUCUGGAAGAGGGAGGAUUUGGGGCAGAGGCAGUCCUUGCCAAAGAGCAUAAUAAGGUGAAAUGCCAGCACCUUCUGGCUCUCUGCAACGUGGGAAGCACUGUGGGUCUAAUAUCAGUAUACCCAGAAUUCCUUCUCCAGGAGAAGAGAGGUGCCAGGUUGAGAGGGAGGCUUUUGGUGCACUCCUUGUUGGGACCCUGGGGUGGGGAGACCACCUCAAAGGGUGCCCCCUUCAUUGUCAUGGAGCUGCUGGCACAUCAGCUUCACCAAGGCAGGGAUCUUAGUUUUGUUCCCUGAUCAUGAGCAUCCAGAACAGUGCCUGGGACAUACUAGGGGCUCAAUAUAUAGUUCUGGGUUGACUACAUCAGAGUAAAAUGGAUGGGAUCUGCCUUUGUGCAGAGUUCCCCCACGUGGUUUCAAAGGAUUCCAGGAGUCCCUGCGUGUGGAGAGCUGGAUGACCAGAGGGGACUGGUUGGGUGAGCUAACGCUGGGUGUUGCCACAGUGGAAGCUUCAAGGAGGACCUUUUGGGCUGGAGGGCAGCAGUGCUCUGGGACAGUCACAGGCAGACAUUCAACAUCAGUUAGAGACAGCGGGGGCUGAGUCAGCCUUAGGAGUGCUCGGCGAACCUUCUGCCUAAGAUCUGCGGAGUCUGCCAGACACCUACUCCAAUGCAGUAUGAAAUUCUGGGACCUCCAAGGGAGCAAAUUACACAUAUACACAGGACCACAGUAGCCCUGAUUCACCCAAGAAUCUCCACUGCCACAAAAUGAGGAUACAACAAGGGGAGGACAAGUCAAUAAACAUUUCUCUAGCACUGGGUUAGGAGUCUUCUGUGUGUUAUUGAACUGUGAGAAGGCGUGUAAGAAAGAACAUGCCUUUCUUGUGAAAUGGAUUUUACGAUCUCCACUAUAGAGCUGAAGACCUCCAGGCUCACACCUGUGACAAAUUGGCCAGACUUUUCUGGCACCAAGGACUGCCCUCUUUCAUCAAGUUACCCAGCAGACAAUCAAAGGUGUCAGCUUUCUUCACCAAGGUUUGAUAAUGUUCUAGGGCCCUGGGGAGAGCAAGAGGAGCCUCCGGUAAAAUUGUGAAAUGAGUGAGGUUUGGAUUGGACUCCUUAUAGCAAUCUUCUUCCUACUCGGACAUCCGGCAAGUCCCUUUGCUGACCUCCUUUCACCCCCAGGGCUACUGGCAGAGAAUCCCUGAAAACCAAAAGGGUUGAAGAUGUUAUCUUUUCUAGAGGACACUCAGAGAACAAAAAGGCUUAGAGCUUAAAUUGUGGCAUUUCAGGCUCUAAGAGGGGCAGUGUCUACAAACACCUUAAGUUGCGUUCCCAGCACUUCCCCAGAAGGCAAAAAGAAACUACCUGGAGCACGUUGGAUAUGGGGCUCUAGUUCUGAGACUGAAAAAUCCCAGUUCUCUGCUGAAGUUUGAGGCAUUUAGAACAGCUCCCCUCCCGACCCAAAGGAUGAUUUACUGCAUGGAAGGAGGCUCUUCAGUAUCAUGUGCACAGUGCCACAGCAUUGUAUCUGCCGUCACACCCCGUAUGUUCAGUGCGGCCAUGAGAAAUCAAGGCAUAGGACUGGUGAAGCAUGAGGCACAUGCCCUCCCAAAUUGGGAGUAAAACAAUGUCCCAGGCACCACUACUUUCUUAAACAUUGCUCUGAAAGUGCUAGUCAAUAUAUUUACACAAGGCCAGGUGCAGUGGCUCAUGCCUGUAAUCCCAGCACUUUGGGAGGCUGAGACAGGCAGAUCUCCUGAGGUCAGCAGUUCAAGACCAGCCUGGGCAACAUGGUGAAACCCUGUCUCUACUAAAAAUACAACAAUUAGCUGGGCAUGGUGGCAGAAACCUGUAAUCUCAGCUACUCGGGAGGCUGAGGCAGGAGAAUCGCUUGAACCUGGGAGGCGGAGGUUGCAGUGAGCCAAGAUCACGCCACUGCACUCCAGCCUCGGUGACCGAGUGAGACUCCAGUUUGUCUAAUAUAAAAAUAUGUAUAUAUAUAUAGUCUAAUAUAAAUAUAUAUUUUGUCUAAUAUAAGUAUAUAUUAUAUACAUUUUGUCUAAUGUAAAUAUAUAUAUUUUGUCUAAUAUAAAUAUAUAUAUUUUUGUCUAAUAGAAAUACAAAUAUAUUUUGUCUAAUAUAUAUAUUAGACAAAAGAGUGAAGAAAUAUAAUUUCAACAUUUUAAAAAGGAAGGAAACUCAUUGUUUGUAAGGGAUCUGAUCACAUCAUUGAAAUGUGCAAGAAAAUAAAAUUAUUGGAAAUACUGAAUUCCGUAAGGUUGACAGAUUUUUUUAAAUGCAAAAUUAAUGUCUUUAGACACAAAUGAUCACCACUGAAACAUCCAGAAAUUCCACUUUUAGAAAUCAUCUGAGAAAAUAAUAAGUGCACAAAGAUACAGUCGUAAAAUCAACUUCAGCGUUCAUCAUCGGACAGUUGUUUCAAUGAACUGUGGUUCAUCUAGACAAUGGAAUGCAUAGCCCUUAAAAAUAUUACUGUGGAUCUACAUUUACUGAAAUGGAAAGAUUCCCAUACUAUGGGAUGGUAUGAUAAGCAUGAUAUAAAGUUCUGAAAUUAUAGUGAUAUUAAACUUUUUUAAUACAUUAGGAUUUAAACUUUUAUGUACCAAUAUCAGAACAAAAGGCCAUAAAAAGAUUAAAAUAUAAUGACAAGCCGAGAAUAGAUUGCAUUUCUAUUAUGAUCACUGGUGUAUUUUCUUCACAACACUUACAUCCACUUGAAUUAUAUAUAUUUUUUGUUUUUUAUUAUCUUUCAUUCUCACUAACCUAAAGUGAGGGAAUGUAAGUUUACUGUUGCACACCAGAACCUUGAACAUCAUGAGUAUUUGUUGCAUAAAUUAUGAAUAAAUUCCACUUCUGCACAUUAUGUAUCUCAAUUUCUCUAUAUAUACAUGAUAUAGAGGGAUGUCUGAAAAGAUAAUUCACCCAAAGGCUGGCAUUGGUUGGCUCUAUGUGUUGGAAUUCUCUGUCUCCCUCACCCCUCAAUCCUGGCUCUGUCUACAUACCCAUAAAUACAAAAAUAAUACAGGAAUGUAUUCUCCUCAUUCUUUUUUUUUUUUUUUUGAGAUGACCUCGCUCUCUUGCCUAAGCUGGAGUACAGUGGCACAAUCUUGGCACUCUACCUCCUGGGUUCAAGCAAUUCUGGUGCCUCAGCCUCCUGAAUAGCUGGAACUACAGGUGUGAGCCACCGCACUUGGCUAAUUUUUGUACUUUUUGGUAUAAAUGGGGUUUCGCCAUGUUGGCCGGGCUGAUCUCGAACUCCUGGCCUCAAGUGAUUCAUCUGCCUUGGCCUCCCAAAGAUCUGAGGUUACAGGUGUGAGCCACCUCACUCAGCCUGAAUAGAUUCUCAAUCUUUUAACUCCCAGCAAUAUGGAAUAAACUGCAUAGAUGAAAACACAGAAGUUCUUUUUAUUUCUCUCUUCUGCCCACCCCACCAAAUCCUAUCUUCCUCCCCAGAGAUAACUAUCAUUUUCAGUUUUGUUUGUGUCCUUCCAGACUUUAAAGACACAUCUAGACUGACAGUUUUAGUUGUAUGUAUUCUUUAAAUUAAGUGAGACUAGUCCAUGUAUAUUAUUCUGCAAUUUGCUUUUUUCAUUUGGCAAUAUUGAAAUUCUUUCUGUGCCAGUACAUAUAACUUUCCUGUCCUUUUUUUUUUUGUUUGUUUGAGACAGAGUCUCGCCCUGUCACCCAGGCUGGAAUGCAAUGGCACGAUCUCAGCUCACAGCAACCUCCGCUUCCCUGGUUCAAACGAUUCCACUGCCUCAGCCUCCCAAGUAGCUGGGAUUUACAGGCGCCUGCCACCAUGCCCAGCUAAUUUUUGUAUUUUUAGUAGAGAUGGGGUUUCCCAUGUUGGCCAGGCUGGUCUCGACCUCCUGACCUUGUGAUCCACCCAUCUUGGUCUCCCAAACUGCUGGGAUUACAGGCGUGAGCCACCGCGCCUGGCCUCCUGUCCUUUUUAGCUGCUGCAUGGUCACCAUUAAUAUGCAUGUAUUACCAAAUAUAGAUGCAUUCUGGUUUGUUUUAUGUGCAUUUAGUCAGCAUCCAGUCUUUUGCAAUCGCAAGCCAUGGUGCACCAGUGAACACCUUGUUUGGUUCCCUUUGUAAACGUUGUGUGUAUUCUCUGAAUACAUGUUUUGAAGUGGAAUCGCCAGGUAAAAUAAUGCAUUCAUUUUAAGUAUUGAUAGUUUCUGCCGAACUGUCUUUCACAAACGUGACACUAACUUACCUCUCCCCUCAUCUUAGGUGAGAAAGCCAUUUCUCUACCCUCUUGUCAACAUAGAAUCAUAUCACAAAUCUUCUAAUGUUUUGCUGGUUUGACAGGGAAGGACUAUAUCUUUAUGUUUUUUGUUAUAAUUUUUUUAAAUUAAAAAAAAUUUUUAUACCAACGAGGCUGGUCUCAAACUCCUGAGCUCAAGGAGUUUCUCUUUAUGUUGUUUUAGUCUGCAUUUCUCCGAUCACUAACAAAGUUGAUCACUUUUACCUACGCUUUUAAGACAUUUCUUCUGGAAAAUUCAUGUUCAUAAGCUUCGUCCAUUUUCUUCUUUGGUUGUUUAUCUUUUGAUUAAUGGUUUACAAGAUUUUUAACAACAAAUACUUCGAUUAUUGAUAUUAUCUUACAUAUUUAAAACCUCCUCUUUCUCAAGAUCCGGAAAAUAUGUAUCUAUGUGUUCUUCUAAUGGUUGUUAGUUUUGCUUUUCAUAUUUAGCACUAUAAUACAUCUAUUAUUUCUUUGUGUUUAUGUUGUGAAAUAAAAAUUUAACUGAAAAACAUUCCCAAGUCAAUAACCAAUUGCUCUAACACCAUUAAGUGAAAAUAUUUUCUAUUUUCUCAUUUGGACUAUCACCUUUGUCAAGUAUGAAUUGAUGGCAUGAUUUUUACUUGAAUUUAUUAUACAUGUUUUUAUUUUUGAAUGCACUGUUAUAAGCUACAGCAGGCUGGACGCAGUGGCUCAUGCCUGUAAUCCCAGCACUUUGGGAGGAAAAGCAGUUAUUUUCCAUUUGAAUACAUAUUAUAAUAAUCAACAUCAUGAAAAAUUAAUGAUAAAUUAACUGAAAAUUUCAAGUGAUAAUAUUUUAUGCAUAAUUUAAUCUAAAUUAUGUAAAUACAUCUAUGUGAAUAGAUGCAGAAAAUAAUGAGUAAGAUGCUAACAACUACAUCUUGGUGGCUUUCUCUUACUGGUAUUUCCCAUGCACUCUCCAAUUUCACUUCUACUUUUAGGGCUUAGCUCUGCUUCUUUUCUACUUUGCAAGGGUUGAGUCUCUGAUUUUCAAGGUUUUGGCUCUUGUUGAAUGACACGAGAAGUGAUUAUAAUGUUGUAUGCCCUGAAUGCAUGGUGCUGUGAGGAUGUGGUGACUUUAUCGAGUCAGAGAAGAAAGGCAAGGGAGUGAAGAGUUUGAACAUCUGUUACGUAUCAGAUUGCCUCAUUUGAUUUUU
Molecule: long non-coding RNA, 5688 nt
Filed under: Homo sapiens (human)
Lineage: Eukaryota; Metazoa; Chordata; Mammalia; Primates; Hominidae
Description: HSALNT0134778
Source: RNAcentral